This 533-nucleotide long non-coding RNA is filed under the name Homo sapiens (human). Its description in RNAcentral is "HSALNT0295993". The record is from RNAcentral. Lineage: Eukaryota; Metazoa; Chordata; Mammalia; Primates; Hominidae.
AAAUAAAAAAAGUGCUAAUGAGACAGAAAAGGGCACUGAAAGAUCCGGUCACCCAGGGACCUCUCAAUUGCUCAGAUUUGGAGAAGGUGGGGAGAGAAGAUUGCGUCAAACAGACCUGAGAUCCGAUCCCAGCUCAGUCAUUUCCAGCUGUGUGACCUUGGGUGAGUCACUCGCUUUUUCUGAAUCUCGGUUUUCUCAAUGAUGAUGUGACAGCAAUGUUCAUGAGGUGCUGCCAAAAUUACAAUAGAUCAUGUAAACUAUGUGCAAUGUACUUCGUUGCCUUGCAGCAAUGGAUGGCGCCUCUCCUUCCAUCCUCUACAGAAGGAGGAAGAGAUGUUUAAAGUGGAAAUAAGAGAAUUGGAGUUCUGAAAAUGUGAGAAUCAAAUCUACAGCCCCAUUUGUUCAGUGACUUCCUAUCUCCACCCCGUGAAGUUCACCAGAGGCACCGAGGGAACUUGCCCAGAUGGUUGUGGUGGCAUUGUCCCUGGUGUGUGAGGAAUUUUGGAGAAUACAAGAGGUGUAAAACUACUGUA